Phymastichus coffea is the source of this 821-nucleotide long non-coding RNA. RefSeq lists it as uncharacterized. The record is from RefSeq and is a predicted model, not a curated record. Lineage: Eukaryota; Metazoa; Arthropoda; Insecta; Hymenoptera; Eulophidae. The transcript has 3 exons.
GAAUGCGCGUUGGCGUUAACGUCACUAGACAGUGCGCUAAAAACUCAGAAGCUCGGUUAAAGGGCAAAACGCUUGCACAACUCGCGCUCUCUGGACGCAGGCCAGAGCCACUCAGUCUUUGGAUACAUGGCAGUCGCUGCUCGCUCUUUGUGAGGCACGGUUUAAUAGUUCAAGUAGCAAGCAUUUCGUUUGAUGAAUUCUGGUAUAACGGACGACGUCACAACAAAGCGUUUCAUAUCCAUCCCUUCGAGUCCGAUUCUCCAGCCACCUGGCGGAGGGUUGAGAACGUUCAAUCUAAGCGCCGUCCUAUUGUCGCGCAUGCGUGACAAUGCAACUGUCAGUCGUGGUGCUGCUACUGCUGACUUUUCCGUCGUGCUGACGCCGACUGGUGAUCGAGCGACUUUUCACGUUCAACGACUUUAUUAUACCACUUUGUGCGCUAAUGCAACAGUACGGGGAUUUGCUUCUCGCCAAGUGAUAUUUGUUCAAUUAUAAAGAUUAAUUCUUUAAAGUAUAAUUUAUUUGAAUACAUCAUUGUCAGUAAAGAUAUAUUCGAUUGAAUUUGCAUAUAUAGAAACCAGCGAAUGUCAUCGAAUAAACUUCCCCGAUGUUUACCACGAUAUUUUCAAAUGUCCUUGACGUUUUUAUUUAUACGAACAAAGGCAUUAAACUAUUCUCAUCGAACAAACUUGUCUAGUCAGACGCUUGCGCGACUCAGCAUACUUUUUCAUUUUUUUCUAAUACCGUACUCAAUGUUUUUUUUUAUUUUUCUUUAUUUUGCGAUUGGGGAUAAAAAUCAAUACAUCAAUUGUCAAGUUGUU